CUGGCGGCGUGCCUAAUCAUGCAUCCUAGCGGACAGAAAAGGUAGCUUGCUCCCUUUGUUAGCGGCGGACGGGUGAGUAACACGUGGGUAACCUGCCUGUAAGACUGGGAUAACUCCCGGAAACCGGAGCUAAUACCGGAUAGUUCCUUGAACCGCAUGGUUCAAGGAUGAAAGACGGUUUCGGCUGUCACUUACAGAUGGACCCGCGGCGCAUUAGCUAGUUGGUGGGGUAAUGGCUCACCAAGGCGACGAUGCGUAGCCGACCUGAGAGGGUGAUCGGCCACACUGGGACUGAGACACGGCCCAGACUCCUACGGGAGGCAGCAGUAGGGAAUCUUCCGCAAUGGACGAAAGUCUGACGGAGCAACGCCGCGUGAGUGAUGAAGGUUUUCGGAUCGUAAAGCUCUGUUGUUAGGGAAGAACAAGUGCGAGAGUAACUGCUCGCACCUUGACGGUACCUAACCAGAAAGCCACGGCUAACUACGUGCCAGCAGCCGCGGUAAUACGUAGGUGGCAAGCGUUGUCCGGAAUUAUUGGGCGUAAAGGGCUCGCAGGCGGUUUCUUAAGUCUGAUGUGAAAGCCCCCGGCUCAACCGGGGAGGGUCAUUGGAAACUGGGAAACUUGAGUGCAGAAAAGAGAGUGGAAUUCCACGUGUAGCGGUGAAAUGCGUAAAGAUGUGGAGGAACACCAGUGGCGAAGGCGACUCUCUGGUCUGUAACUGACCCUGAGGA
Molecule: ribosomal RNA, 731 nt
Filed under: Bacillus sp. Bac47D1
Lineage: Bacteria; Bacillati; Bacillota; Bacilli; Caryophanales; Bacillaceae
Description: bacterial SSU rRNA
Rfam family: Bacterial small subunit ribosomal RNA
Source: RNAcentral